CCACCUCCACCGCCGGCCACGACUCCACCUCCGCCGCAGGCCACGGCUCCACCUCCACCCCACCUCCGCAGCAGGCCUCAGCUCCAACUCCACCGCGCCCUUCCGCCUCAACCGCCGGCUACUUCCUCCCAUCCCCCGCAGCCUCCACAGACCCCUUGACCAAGCGGCUCGCUCCCGCCACCAUCGGACGGCCGCGACUCCACCUCCACCGCCGGUCACGACCCCACCUCGCCGCCUCCAAUGCCGGCCAGCAGUCCACCUCCAUGCCCCCCUUCUGGAUCCGGUCUGGCUACGUCUCCCUCACCAUUCCCCUCCGCCUCCACCAAACCCUAGAUGCGCACUAACCCACCUCACGGUUGCCUAUCUACUGCUCGUACACAUAAGAUGACGACCUCGUCCAUUGUGUUGAAAACACCUCUUUGGCCAAUGGAAGUGAUCUCGUUGCCCAGCCUGAGCACAACCAGAUGGUGAACGAGGAAUGUGAUGACAACCAGCCUCUUCAGUUGUUAUUGUACUGACUUUAAUCUACAUUUAACAAUAAGAUGAAAUUCAGAAUCUGAAUUCGGCAAAUCAAUUAUAUAUGCUUGAUCUAAAUCUUAAUUUUAGAUCACAUUGACUGCAUCUUUCUGUGUAGAUUCUGAAUUUAGCAAUUCAAUCAUAAUAUAUGCUUAAUUUUGUGAACAUCCAUUCUUGAUAUCCUUCAAGUCAUGGUUAUGGUAUGUACUCCCUCCAUUCCUAAAUAUAAGUCUUUUUAGAGAUUUCAAUGCGGACUACAUACGGAUGUAUAUAGAUGUACUUUAGAGUGUAGAUUCACUCAUUUUGCGUUUUCCUAGCUUAGGCGCUAAUUAUGCGUUUGGGCACCUACUUGCGCUUUCCUAGCUUAGGCGUGAUUAGGCGAAAUUAGGCGCAAUUAGGCGUUAGUACUGUAACGUGAAGAAAUAAGCUAGAUGGGCUGGGCUAGCCCACUAAACCAUAGGCCCAUCUUCAUAUCCUCCUACUAAAAGCUCUCGUCUGCUGCAGUCGAUAGGAAAUUUAGGUUUCCUCCUCACGCCGCCUCCCCCCCUCGUCCUUUCUGUCUCGUUGCACGAGGCUGCCUCCCUCCCUCUUCCUCUGUGCCUUGUCGGAGAAGCUCGAUCCCUCGCCGGAGAAGCUCAAUCCCUCGCCGGAGAAGCUCGAUUUGUCGUCGGGGCAGUUGAAUCCCUCGUCGGCGAGGAUGAAUCCUCGCAGGGGAGGUCGAAUCCUCGCCGGGGAGACUGAUUUCUCACCUCAGAAAGCUGAUUCCUCGCCGGAGAGGCUGAUUUCUCGCCGGAGGACCUCGCCGGCCGCUUUUUUGAGCGCCUAGGGCCAAAGCGAGGCGCUAUGCCAACGCCCAGCGCUUAAGCGCGCCUAGGCGAGCGCCUAAUAGCGCCUUCUUGAACAGUGUGCGCACAACCAUCUGCAGUAACUUUUCUUGUGUUGAAUAGCAAAAGAAAUAGAUAAAGAAUAUUACCUGCAUAGAGUUGUUUAUGCAUGUGAAAAUGUUCCUUACCAUUGUUCAUGUGUUUAUCUGCUAUAUUGUCAACUAAUUAAGCCUAUGGGAUCAUCUACUAGUGCAUAGAUAAACUUAUCCUGAACAAAUGGAUAAAGUAAAGUUCACUUUUGGUAUUGUAUAUGUUCUUUCUUCAUAGUUACUAAAUCUGAAGCAACGGUGCAUCCUGCAUAUAUGCCAUUUUCAGGGAGAAAAUACAAAGAUGAAAAACACACUGCAUUGCAUUUGUUCAAGGAGUGCCACUACAACAAGAAGAAAGGGUACACAGAUAUCGUACAACUACAAUCUGCCAUUUUAAGUCAAGGUUCGAGGAGUGAUAACCAUAUAACAGUGCUUACUUUUUUUUAAUAGAUCCAGUAGUACAAUAGUCAGUAAUUUAUAAAGUCAGCCUAAAGAAAGGUAGAAGAAUAAUUUGACUUUGAAACAAUUGAGCACAUAUCACUUUAAUGAAAUGACUAGAUUUUUUCUGUACUAUUCUUUGCUUCUUACAUGAAUAUGACCACUUGACAACCGUUGAAUGAUUUAUGAAAUCUUCAUAUCUUACCUACAAAGACAACAAUUCAUACAUGGGUUCAAUUUAUUUUUAUCCAUUUUUGGGCAGUUUUCAUGAUGCGUAUUGUGUAUGCACAUGCUACAUUUGUUUUCAUGAUUUCUUAGAAGAUUACUUGAACAUAAUCUUUUUCAUAGUUAGAUGUCUUCAUCUGUAAAUCACAUACAUACAUGUGAUCAAACAAGGGAGCUCACCUAUCUCCUCCAAAUUUAAGUGUGGCUUGCUAGGAUAAUGCUGAGAGCGUCCAGAGUUUCUGCGUCUGCUUGGUGGGCCCUUCAAGCUGGGUUGUGUGCUUGUCUAUACCACUCCCUCCGAUCCAAAUUAAUUGUCACAGCUUUAAUACAACUUGGUACUAAAGUUGUACUAGAGCUACGGCAAUUAAUUUGGAUCAGAGGGAGUAGUUUUUUUAGGGAAGUUUACUGCUAGGUAAGAGAAUUCAUUCGUCCAUCUUGUGCUUAGUGUGGGUGAGCUUGGGCCAAGUGGCUGGGUUGUGUGGCCUUUGACGUGUCUAUCGCUGGGUGUGUGAGUGUGUAAUGUGUGUGUUGGUUUCUUUGGUUGGUCAAUUAAGUGGGGCCGCUCGGUUAAAAGUGCAUUGUCUGUGACCUUUGGGUCCGUUUGUUACUGCGUAUUUUUUUCUAUUUAUUUUGUGUUGAGUCAUAGUAUCGGUGCAUGUUUCAUUUUUAUUUGUUUGUUUGGCUGCUGCUGGUCCAUGUGUUUUUUGGCCACAAUUUUGUUGCAAUCUUGCUGGUCAGAGGGGCUUGCUGCUACCAUAAAUUUCACACGAGCAGUGUUAUACCUAUGAUAAUUCUUGUACUAUCUAUAUAAAAUGUUGCAUUGUAGGCAUCCAUUUAUUCUCUGCAGCUUUAUCGUAUGAGCUGGGAUAACAUUGUACAGCCAUCAGAUGCAGUUUUGUGGUAUGGUAAGAGUAAUUUGAAUUGCAUUUGGAUGUACCAAAUGCCAUUAUACUUGUGCACAUCGGAGUCCGCUGUUCUGCCCAGUUUGUCUUUAUGUGUCUUGUGGCAAAGCUGUCUCAUAACCUCAUAACCAUGUUUGUUUGUUGCUUGCAUUGCUAGACUCAUAUGGAAAAGAAUUUCUCUCAACCUACUAAAGAUGGACAACCUAUCUCUGCAACUGAGGUUAUAUCUUAUGUGCUCACUCACCACACCAAGAAGCUUAGGUUUCUUCGGCAUGUUGGGAUCCAGCAUGUGUGUGAGAGAACCAGUGGUAUCAACCUUGAAGGGCAACUGGCAGCAGACAAGAAAGAGAACGCAGAGCCUUGGUAGGUUGUCAAUACCUUGACUACGAAGGUAGAAGAAUCAGGACAAGCAAGGGUCAGACAAGAAGAGGAGUACAAGAAUAAGCAAGCUGAGAUGGACGCAAAAGUUGACCUUUUGCUAAGCCAGAGGUGAUCAAGUUGAGCUACAGGGUAAGGUGGUCGUUGAAACACAAUAUUGUUGUAAGGUGAUGGCAAUAUGUGAUCUUUUGCUGGUGCCAUGCUUUUGUAAGGUGAUGGCAAUAUCUGUUAUGCUUUUGCUGCUGCAAAAUGCAUGCAUUUUGUUUGUGGAUAUGAAUGCAAGCAUUUUAUCGUAGGUAGUAUUUGGCACUAGAGUAAUUGUAGUUUCAUAUUUAUGUUGGACGAGAACAUGUAAUUUGAUGUUGUAACUUAAUUUAUGUUGUCAUAUA
Long non-coding RNA from Triticum dicoccoides, 3761 nucleotides. RefSeq lists it as uncharacterized. NCBI's taxonomy places the organism in Eukaryota, Viridiplantae, Streptophyta, Magnoliopsida, Poales, Poaceae. The transcript has 2 exons. The record is from RefSeq and is a predicted model, not a curated record.